Molecule: ribosomal RNA, 690 nt
Filed under: uncultured Alphaproteobacteria bacterium
Lineage: Bacteria; Pseudomonadati; Pseudomonadota; Alphaproteobacteria
Description: bacterial SSU rRNA
Rfam family: Bacterial small subunit ribosomal RNA
Source: RNAcentral
AGUAGCAAUACUGAGUGGCAAACGGGUGAGUAUAAUGUGGGAAUCUGCCUUUUGGUUUGGAAUAACACGGGGAAACUUGUGCUAAUACCGAAUAAGCCUUUACAGGGAAAGUUUUAACGCCGAAAGAUGAGCCUGCACUUGAUUAGCUAGUUGGUAAGGUAAAAGCUUACCAAGGCAACGAUCAAUAGCUGUUCUUAGAGGAAGACCAGCCACAUUGGGACUGAGACACGGCCCAGACUCCUACGGGAGGCAGCAGUGGGGAAUCUUGCACAAUGGGGGAAACCCUGAUGCAGCGAUGCCGCGUGAGUGAAGAAGGCCCUUGGGUUGUAAAACUCUUUCGUCGGGGAAGAAAAUGACUGUACCCGAAUAAGAAGGUCCGGCUAACUUCGUGCCAGCAGCCGCGGUAAUACGAAGGGACCUAGCGUAGUUCGGAAUUACUGGGCUUAAAGAGCUCGUAGGUGGUUAAAAAAGUUGAUGGUGAAAUCCCAAGGCUCAACCUUGGAACUGCCAUCAAAACUUUUUAGCUAGAGUGUGAUAGAGGUAAGUGGAAUUUCUAGUGUAGAGGUGAAAUUCGUAGAUAUUAGAAAGAACACCAAAUGCGAAGGCAACUUACUGGGUCACUACUGACACUGAGGAGCGAAAGCAUGGGUAGCGAAGAGGAUUAGAUACCCUCGUAGUCCAUGCCGUAAA